GGGUAGCUCAUUUGGUCAGAACACAAUGCUAAUAACGCCAAGGUUGCAGGUUCGAUCCCUGUGUGGGACA
This is a non-coding RNA of Podarcis lilfordi (Lilford's wall lizard), 70 nucleotides long. Lineage: Eukaryota; Metazoa; Chordata; Lepidosauria; Squamata; Lacertidae. The record is from the annotation of a GenBank genome assembly.